RNAcentral lists this ribosomal RNA (317 nucleotides) under Polyschismium chailletii. RNAcentral's name for it is "bacterial SSU rRNA". It matches the Rfam family "Eukaryotic small subunit ribosomal RNA", at positions 80 to 350 of the family's 1831-position model. The record is from RNAcentral. Lineage: Eukaryota; Evosea; Eumycetozoa; Physariida; Didymiaceae.
UCUGAAUCUGCGUACGGCUCCGCAAACCAGUUGUAAACUAUAGCAAGCAAUCCUGCGGGCGGCUUCGGCUGCUCGUGGGUAACAUGGAUAACCCUGGUAAUUCUGAGGCUAAUACAAGAACGUACUCCCUGGCUGACCGGCAACGGAAGGCUGGGGAGCGUGCAACGUAUCGUAGGGAUAAACCGGGAAUGGGUGCACGCUUGGACCGCGCUAAAGACAGAUCUCGGCGAGCCUUCGGGUGAGCCUUGGCCUGAGCGGCUCUUGCUGUGUGCUUCUGACCUAUCAACUAGACGGCAGCGUAAGGGACAUGCUAUGGU